RNAcentral lists this unclassified non-coding RNA (83 nucleotides) under Epilithonimonas lactis. Its description in RNAcentral is "Chryseobacterium halperniae Flavo-1 RNA". Lineage: Bacteria; Pseudomonadati; Bacteroidota; Flavobacteriia; Flavobacteriales; Weeksellaceae. The record is from RNAcentral.
CCGCAGCCCGACUUGAGUGGAGCUCUUUUUUUGCAAUGGGAAAAGCCUGGCAAAAAAAAGCGGGAACGGAAGGCGGAUAAAGC